This 233-nucleotide unclassified non-coding RNA is filed under the name fungal sp. RNAcentral's name for it is "partial internal transcribed spacer region". The stretch from base 1 to 46 matches the Rfam family "Eukaryotic small subunit ribosomal RNA", at positions 1786 to 1831 of the family's 1831-position model. The record is from RNAcentral. Lineage: Eukaryota; Fungi.
AAGUCGUAACAAGGUAUCCGUAGGUGAACCUGCGGAUGGAUCAUUAGAAAGUGCGAGGUGCUUCGGCACCGACCACCCACUCUGUGCACUGUAACGUACCCUGCGGUCGAGGGCUUAGGCUCGAGGCCGCGCUGGGCUGUUCCUUACGGGACGGCCGAAUAAACACGUCAACCAACGUCUGAAGCUAAAGAAACAAUGUUAAACAACUUUUGACAACGGAUCUCUUGGCUCUC